Molecule: long non-coding RNA, 861 nt
Organism: Paramisgurnus dabryanus
Lineage: Eukaryota; Metazoa; Chordata; Actinopteri; Cypriniformes; Cobitidae
Source: RefSeq, a predicted model, not a curated record
CUGUGACGUCAUACUGGUUAACGCUAAGCCACGUGAAGCCGGACACAAGGGCUACACUAAUCUUUGGGCUGGAGUAGCCUGUGGUUUUUAAGGCUUCGUGUCUCUUCGCGUUAAACGAUCGCAGAACGAUUUAUUUCUCUUUUUCACCUCGAUCUUUGGCCUUGUGUGAUUUACCAAAACCAACAUGUGAAGUUACAACGCUGACGAAGGAGUUUCAUCAGUAGAGUGUGUCCUGGUAAAUGUGUGCUCGGAAACAUGCAGAUUACAGUAUUUACAGAGCCGACCUUGAGGCACCCACUGAUGGAUAAUCUGUUUACCUAAAAACAGCCCACCACAAUCCAUGUUUACCAGCUGUGAAAGUGCAGGCCAAAAAUCUUCCUUCACCUGUGGGCCUCUACCCACAUGUAGAUAAGCACUUCAGGAGAAACCUGCCUGUGAUCUGCUAAGAUGCAAAGAUUCAACUCUGGCCCAUUGUCAUCCCAACACCUCAUCUGCCAUCAGUUUCGUUUAGUGUCGGUCUAUUGCAAAAGUUCUUAUAAACUUUAAAUGAGAGUUUGUGUUAAGCAGGGGUUUCCAAACUUUUCAUUCCACAACAUAUUAAGCCCAGGAUACACUGCAGGAUUUUUGCAAUCCAAUAAGACCUUAUCACACUGUGUGACAAGGAUUGUUUAAACUUCAGCAGUAGACUGUCGAUGAAGACACCUAUUGCAUCUGAAGCUGCGACAUCUGUCAUCAGCAUGCGCUAGUGGUAAACAAAUACAGGUUUGCAGAUCGUAGAAGCAAACACAUUGUUGAUGUGCGAUGAUCAUGCUGAACUUCUUACACUGUCAUAAAACUAUCGUAGGUGUCUUUGGUCCAAGG